RNAcentral lists this microRNA precursor (74 nucleotides) under Myotis lucifugus (little brown bat). RNAcentral's name for it is "mir-9193 microRNA precursor family". It matches the Rfam family "mir-9193 microRNA precursor family". Lineage: Eukaryota; Metazoa; Chordata; Mammalia; Chiroptera; Vespertilionidae. The record is from Rfam by way of RNAcentral.
CUCGGGGGAGGGUUGUCUCUCAGCCUGGAUUGCAAGAGGCUGCAGGCUAGGCUGAGGGACCCCACCUGUGCACG